This 66-nucleotide transfer RNA is filed under the name Marmota monax (woodchuck). Its description in RNAcentral is "tRNA.Ala". Lineage: Eukaryota; Metazoa; Chordata; Mammalia; Rodentia; Sciuridae. The record is from RNAcentral.
GGUUGUGGCUCAGCGGUAGAGCACUUGCCUAGCAUGUGAGCGCCCUGGGUUUGAUCCUCAGCACCA